RNAcentral lists this ribosomal RNA (494 nucleotides) under uncultured bacterium. RNAcentral's name for it is "partial 16S ribosomal RNA". It matches the Rfam family "Bacterial small subunit ribosomal RNA", at positions 28 to 523 of the family's 1533-position model. The record is from RNAcentral.
GAUGAACGCUAGCGGCAGGCUUAACACAUGCAAGUCGAGGGGUAUAGGUUUUCGGACCUAGAGACCGGCGCACGGGUGCGUAACGCGUAUGCAAUCUACCUUUCACAGAGGGAUAGCCCAGAGAAAUUUGGAUUAAUACCUCAUAGUAUUACGAGAUGGCAUCAUUUUGUAAUUAAAGUCACAACGGUGAAAGAUGAGCAUGCGUCCCAUUAGCUAGUUGGUAAGGUAACGGCUUACCAAGGCUACGAUGGGUAGGGGUCCUGAGAGGGAGAUCCCCCACACUGAUACUGGGACACGGACCAUACUCCUACGGGAGGCAGCCGUGAGGAAUAUUGGACAAUGGGCGCAAGCCUGAUCCAGCCAUGCCGCGUGCAUGAUGACGGUCCUAUGGAUUGUAAACUGCUUUUGCACAGGAAGAAACAACGCUACGUGUAGCGUCUUGACGGUACUGUGAGAAUAAGGAUCGGCUAACUCCGUGCCAGCAGCCGCGGUAA